This is a long non-coding RNA of Anguilla rostrata (American eel), 2119 nucleotides long. RefSeq lists it as uncharacterized. The transcript is spliced from 2 exons. The record is from RefSeq and is a predicted model, not a curated record. NCBI's taxonomy places the organism in Eukaryota, Metazoa, Chordata, Actinopteri, Anguilliformes, Anguillidae.
UAUUGAUGUGGGACCGUCGAGUCCUUGAACACAUCGGAACAAUGGGUUUAAUGCCGUCUUUUGUGCGCCCUUCUUUCUUGCAUCACAAACUUGCCUUGUGUGCUUUCUUAUGUCCCAUUAAUUUAAAUUUGUGGGUAAAAACGCUCUUCGUUCCUUUGUUCCUGAAUUCCUGCAAUGUCGACUAUGUUAAGCAAACAAUCUGAUUGUGAGGCAGUUCAAGUGCUGUUAGAAACGCACACAAGUCGUCUCCAGGCUGAAGUGUUUGCCAGCUGAUACUGCACGUUCUGCCCAAUGCUUGAGCAGUACAACCUUAACAAGAGCAACUUACUUUCAUUCAUUUUUUUAAGGUGUCGCUGCUGUUCAAUCUGUAAUUGAAUGUAGAUAAGCAAUAUUUACGGGGAUUUCUGUGUUCAGAGAAAAUAAGGAUGAUUCCCUAUUUUGUGUAUAUUUUCCAAUGAUUUCCAAUGAUUUUUUCUAGACUUUUAAAAAUAAUCUUUGAAGAAAAUUUCUCAUAACAUGUAGAUUGUCUGCACCAAAAUGCAGUAUUCUAGGCUACUUCACAUAUCUUGGAUUGAUUAUCAUUUUUUUAAAUUUUUUAUUGGUUUUCUCAGAAAUGAAAUGAAUGGAAGAGACAGAAUGGGUAAGAAUGUCACACAGAUAACAAUAGAAAUGCCAAAAGCCUGCGGCGUUCCCAUGCGACUACAAUGCCCUAUAAAUCCACAGAUACACUAUGAAAUUGUCCGCGCAGUUACAUCCUUCACAAUUAUUUGUAAACCUAUCAUAAAUAUUUUGGGGUGGAUUAUUUUGUCAAGUUUAGUGGCAUGGAAUCUUUUUCUAUAAUGCUUGAUAUGGGUAGAGAACACAUUUGUUGGUAUUUGAACUAUUUUUCUAUUCAAAACUCUUAGGGCAGAACUUUUGAGAUGAAAGCUUCAUGCCACCAUUUCAAACUCGGAUUUUCAAACUCGAUUUAAGAGUUUAUCAUUGUAACAUUUAUAAUGGGAGUGCAUCAGCGCAGAUUCUUUUGUCAAAAUUACCAAAAUGUUCUCAUUAUUUUAAAGUACAGUGCUGUUGUAUGACAUUUCAUUAAUUAUUUUCUUAACGACUGCUUCAACCGGAGCCGUCUGUAUUAAACGAGUAGGAAUGCUGGCUCCCUCUUGUGGACAUAAAAACGCACCUGCAACAGCGUACCCGAAUGUCCGCACACCUGUCAUCAAUCACCAUUAAAGCACGGGAAAAACACAGCUCUCGCCUACGUUUAGGAACACAAAUUCGGUAAUUGUGGAGGAAGUUGAGCUGAGCAGACUCGGGGAGUGCUUCGGAGGCAUCGGUGCUGGGCUUCAUAUGUCCCCUGAUUCAGAAUGCUGCUCCCCGACUUGUCUUCAACCUUCCCAAGUUCUCCCAAGUCACUCCUCUGCUGAGUUCACUCCACUGGCUACCGGUCGCUGCCAGGACCAGGUUCAAAGUCCAGAUCCUCGCCUACCCUGCAGCCAACAGGACGGCCCCCGGCUACUUACAGGACAUGAUUCAAUCCUACACGCCAGCUCGACCACUCCGCUCUGUGGAAACGGGGCCACUUGCACCCCUGCCAUUCGGAUGAAUCUGGGAUAAUUUUUAUCACUUAAAUUCCCCUCUUUUAUGCUACACAUGUACCUCCUGUGCCAAUUUCAUGUUACCUGUACCGCCAUCCAGCACUUAUACUGUACUUUGUAUCAUUAUCUUGAUGUUGUAGCUUGUCAUGCCUCCUAGUUUUACUUAGCAGAGGUUAGGUCAGAGUAAUGUUUAAUGUGUGAACUGGACUUAAUGUGUUCAUGGCUAUGAAUAACUUACAAAAUGAGUAUUGUGCCUUGUUGGAUCUGUGUUUUGUAGUUGUUCCAAUGACCUUCUUUACGCACUUAUUGUACAUCACUUUGGAUAAAAACGUCUGCCGAAUAAUGCAAUGUAAUGUCAGGAGUUUGCCUCCCUCUGCUGGACAAAAAAUGGCAUUACAGCAGAGGAAAUCCGAUGAAAAAAAUGUUGCAAUGUACAAGUCGAUUUUUUGUGUGGUUAUCAAAUGUAUGUGGAUUUUAAUGCUGCACACAAGUUGCCCUCUGGGGAUAAUAAAGAUCUACUGAAACCGAAA